RNAcentral lists this ribosomal RNA (464 nucleotides) under uncultured bacterium. RNAcentral describes it as "partial 16S ribosomal RNA". It matches the Rfam family "Bacterial small subunit ribosomal RNA", at positions 339 to 795 of the family's 1533-position model. The record is from RNAcentral.
CUACGGGAUGCACCAGUGGGGAAUAUUGCACAAUGGGCGCAAGCCUGAUGCAGCCAUGCCGCGUGUAUGAAGAAGGCCUUCGGGUUGUAAAGUACUUUCAGCGGGGAGGAAGGGAGUAAAGUUAAUACCUUUGCUCAUUGACGUUACCCGCAGAAGAAGCACCGGCUAACUCCGUGCCAGCAGCCGCGGUAAUACGGAGGGUGCAAGCGUUAAUCGGAAUUACUGAGCGUAAAGCGCACGCAGGCGGCUUGUUAAGUCAGAUGUGAAAUCCCCGGGCUCAACCUGGGAACUGCAUCUGAUACUGGCAAGCUUGAGUGUCGUAGAGGGGGGUAGAAUUCCAGGUGUAGCGGUGAAAUGCGUAGAGAUCUGGAGGAAUACCGGUGGCGAAGGCGGCCCCCUGGACGAAGACUGACGCUCAGGUGCGAAAGCGUGGGGAGCAAACAGGAUUAGAUACCCCGGUAGUC